AUUGACUUUCCAUUAUUUAUUUUAUAUGACGGCAGCGACGAUUCGUGAGGUACUGAAAUAUAUGUGUAUGUACAUUGACAUAGUGAUAACGGGCUAAUAUGUACAGAUACAUCGAAUCAUAUAAAUGAAAUCGCUGUCAAGUCUUUAUUUCAUCGACGAAGAAAAUGAAAUAAGAGGGACGUUUUAAUUCAACCCAGUUCAAAUAGAAACUUGAUGCACUGUCAUUCAACUUAUGACGAGUAAUUAACACGGCUAUAAAUACCUUAGAAAGAGAAAGAGAGAGAGAGAGAGAGAGAGAAUCCACAAGAUAUUUUUCACAUGGCUCAUAUCGAGUAGCAUCAGGACACGGAAGAAUAAACCAGGAAAACCACGGAAAAACAUACCUCGGCCUUGGAUGGGGGCUACCUCGUGGAUAAUGCAUUGGAUGACGAUGCUGUGGCGGUUGUGGAUGCCUGGGAGAUUCGCUGUUCUCGACAGGUGGCAGGAAAAAGUUGCUUUUCGAUCCGUGUCUCUGCAACGGUGGGGUAGGUUCACAAUCUGCUGAUUGUGAUGCAGUCGGUUCCAUAUCCGUAUCGGAACAAUCUCGUCCGGGGGACAACUGUAAAAUAUUGACAAAAAAAGAAAGAAGAAUAUUUUCCGUUACAUAGGAAAGUGAUAAAUAAGAUUUUAAUGAAAAAAAUUUUUCAAUACUCAAAUGAAUGAACAAAACAAUGACGUACGAUCAAAGUGGAAUUUUGUUUAGCUUCGCAAGGAAAAAAGGAUGAAGGGAUGGAUGAGGUCGGGGUCUCUUGGUUCAGUAAAAACGUCCUCCAAAUGUUCUAAUUGACUCGUGACGAACGGAUAAGCUAUCUUCGCUCGACGUAACGUACUGUGGAUAUCAAUUAUGCACACAGUAUCCGAGAAAAAAAUCAACAUAAAAAGUAACAUACAAAAUUAUUCGAGUCACGCGCGAAUGUUGUGACGUUGAAACGUUGUUUCGCACGCUCACUAAAUCAUCUACAAAAGCGAUUAACUACCUUCUACUCAGCGACUACGACCAAUCAAGUCUAUAUGCUUUGCGAACAGAUAGAGCCAACAGAGAGGGAGAGCAAGAAAAGAAUGCGUGGGUGAAUGUAUUUUAGCCAGAAUACGGUGAAAGCAUAGGAGAAAAACAGUACCUCAGUAAUAAACGUCAACCUUGAGAACGUGUAAAAAAAGCGUGUAGAGACUGCGAAGGUUGUUAGUGCCGAUAAUACAAGUUAUUAAAAAAAAACACACACACACAA
Molecule: long non-coding RNA, 1265 nt
Organism: Venturia canescens
Lineage: Eukaryota; Metazoa; Arthropoda; Insecta; Hymenoptera; Ichneumonidae
Exons: 3
Source: RefSeq, a predicted model, not a curated record